This 238-nucleotide ribosomal RNA is filed under the name uncultured bacterium. RNAcentral describes it as "partial 16S ribosomal RNA". It matches the Rfam family "Bacterial small subunit ribosomal RNA", at positions 96 to 334 of the family's 1533-position model. The record is from RNAcentral.
UGGCGGACGGGUGAGUAACGCGUGGGUAACCUGCCUCAUACAGGGGGAUAACAGUUAGAAAUGACUGCUAAUACCGCAUAAGACCACAGCACCGCAUGGUGCAGGGGUAAAAACUCCGGUGGUAUGAGAUGGACCCGCGUCUGAUUAGGUAGUUGGUGGGGUAACGGCCUACCAAGCCGACGAUCAGUAGCCGACCUGAGAGGGUGACCGGCUACAUUGGGACUGAGACACGGCCCAA